AGCACGUAGGUGGGUUUGUAAGUCAGAUGUGAAAGCCUCCUGUUCAACGGGAGAAUUGCAUCUGAAACUACUGAUCUUGAGUGUAGGAGGGGAGAAUGGAACUUCUGGUGGAGCGGUGAAAUGCGUAGAUAUCAGAAGGAACGCCGGCGGCGAAAGCGAUUCUCUGGCCUAUUACUGACACUCAGUGUGCGAAAGCUAGGGGAGCAAACGGGAUUAGAUACCCCGGUAGUCCUAGCCGUAAACGAUGGGCACUAAGUAGAGGGG
RNAcentral lists this ribosomal RNA (264 nucleotides) under uncultured Planctomycetota bacterium. Its description in RNAcentral is "uncultured planctomycete partial 16S ribosomal RNA". It matches the Rfam family "Bacterial small subunit ribosomal RNA", at positions 567 to 828 of the family's 1533-position model. The record is from RNAcentral. Lineage: Bacteria; Pseudomonadati; Planctomycetota.